AAUUGAAUAUUGACGAUUAAUAAGAAUCUUCUGCACUGACAGAGAUUAGAUUCAGAUGUUACGGCGAGUGACAGGUGCUCUUGAUUAGAGAAAGAUCAGAGGGUGCUAAUGAUGCACAUAAAAUAUCUGAUAAAAUGUCCUGCAAGAAAAUAGUGCCUACUGCAUCAGGAGAUGGCUCUACAAUAGUUGCUGAUACCUUGAAAUAAUACUUAGAGAUGAUAUAGAUAUGCCAGAUAUGUUCUCUUACUUUCUUAUACUACUUAGACCUUAGGGAGCUGCUCUAUUAUUAGCUAAAGAAAUAGAUUAGGAGAAGCUUAUUUUUCUGUUGUUGCAUGUCUAUGUCUCAGUUAUUUGCUUUGCAACUUGAACUAUUUUGAUGCGUGAUUUCCGUAGGAAUGUGCAACCGUGGUAGUAUCAAUUAUCCUCAAGUCCAACAGAAAUUUCACCUUAACUUCUAUUUGCAUACAAGCCAAUUGUUUGUGGAUCUCUUUUUCUUCUGAGAUUAAUCAUGAUUUGUGGGUCAAUACUCAGGAAAUGUUUAUGUCAAAUAAUAAAAUGUAUAAUGGUAAUUAUUCUUGGUAUAAAGGAUGAAAAUAAAGAACUGAAAAAGAAUAAGGAAGACAAUAUUUAGACUACAUGGGAGUAAGAACCUUUUACAUUUACAUGCUUGGACCAUUUCGCAUAUUAGAAUUGCAUUGAGAGUUGAUAAAAGUGCACAUAAAUCCUACGCUGAGAAUUUUAAAAAUUAAUUGAAGAGUGCCCAUGUCAUAGUUCUUUCAUGUUUUAAAAGGUAGAAUAGGGGUGUGCUGCAAUUUUGAAAAGCUGAAAGACAAAAAGUGGAAGAACAAUGCUCCACAAGAAUGCUCAAAGAAUUCUUCCUUCAAUAGUCUUCACAUAAGCAAUAAACAAGACACAUCCUUAUGACCGAUUAGGCUCUUACUGAUACAAUUUUGCAGGUGGUGGUUCCUUUUAGGUAUCAGAUAUUCUCGAUAAUUUGACUUUUUCUUUUUGGAAUUUCGGAAGAUUCAAGUGACCAAAUUAAUGAUGCUAUUGAAAGGGUCCUAAGAGUUAAGUUUGUUGCUGGAGCUUUUGAGUACCCUCCGAGUUAUAAGUCAUUGUUGGAUAUUGUUUGUUGUGAAGUAUGUUUAUAUUGUCUCUUGUCAUCUGUAACUUUAUUUCCUUUCCUCUAUCUUAUUUUGUUGAAUUCUUUAACUGAACUUGAGAAUUCAAUAAAGAACUAGAUCGAGGAACUCCAAAUUGCUUAAAAUGAAACUGAAAAUCCUCUCAAGGAAGAGCAAACUGAAUAUAGAGGUUUACAUCUUCUUUUAGAUUAGACUUCUGGUUGCUCUUAGUUUCAUGAGAAACAUUAGGAAUUCAUUAUCUGCUGCAAGAUAAAAGUCAAUUACAGUUACAUGCUCUUUUCUUUCCAGUUAGUUAGAGCUGCAUGUUCUUUUUAUGCUUUGUACCUGCGAUUAGAUUUAGACAUGGAUUUGAAUAAUGUCCUCUAGCUCUAUUACAGAACACAUUUAUAUGAUUUUUUUACUUGCUUCUAAUAGUUUUCAAGCUUCUAUUACCUUCUGGUAUGUUGCAUGCUUGGAUUAAAUUUACUUGGACUGUGAAAGAUUAUUGUUUCCAUUUGUUGUAUCAUAAUUAAAACAAAUUUUAUAAGGAUGCUUAAUAACAAAGAUUGGUAGAUACGUUUUAGACUUUUAGUUGAUUUGGACUGUGAAGGAACCAAACUUAUGUUCAAACUUAAGUUGAGACAGUACCUUAUAUUGGGCAUCUAACAAUAAAUAGUUUUAUAUACUUGAGAGAUAGACGACUCAAACUAGGUUGUGAAGUGUUUCAUAAUAACCGAUUAGAGAGGAAGAGUUGAUUGGAAACACUCUCUUCGAUUAACCAUCUAACACUUCAUAUCUGCUGCUAAUCGAGUUCAUUUUGUGGGAACGCGAUCAAGGGAUGGGUUUUUCUAUCCACAAUUGAUUUACUUCCUGAAAAAUCUUCUAAUGAGCUAAGGUGGCAGAAAGCACAAC
Molecule: long non-coding RNA, 2033 nt
Organism: Lycium ferocissimum
Lineage: Eukaryota; Viridiplantae; Streptophyta; Magnoliopsida; Solanales; Solanaceae
Exons: 2
Source: RefSeq, a predicted model, not a curated record